RNAcentral lists this ribosomal RNA (164 nucleotides) under Phlebicolorata brevispora. RNAcentral describes it as "Phlebia brevispora 5.8S rRNA". It matches the Rfam family "5.8S ribosomal RNA". From Rfam's summary of the family: 5.8S ribosomal RNA (5.8S rRNA) is a component of the large subunit of the eukaryotic ribosome. It is transcribed by RNA polymerase I as part of the 45S precursor that also contains 18S and 28S rRNA. The record is from RNAcentral. Lineage: Eukaryota; Fungi; Basidiomycota; Agaricomycetes; Polyporales; Meruliaceae.
UACAACUUUCAGCAACGGAUCUCUUGGCUCUCGCAUCGAUGAAGAACGCAGCGAAAUGCGAUAAGUAAUGUGAAUUGCAGAAUUCAGUGAAUCAUCGAAUCUUUGAACGCACCUUGCGCUCCUUGGUAUUCCGAGGAGCAUGCCUGUUUGAGUGUCAUGAAAUU